This 301-nucleotide ribosomal RNA is filed under the name uncultured bacterium. RNAcentral describes it as "partial 16S ribosomal RNA". It matches the Rfam family "Bacterial small subunit ribosomal RNA", at positions 509 to 807 of the family's 1533-position model. The record is from RNAcentral.
CAGCCGCCGCGGUAAUACGGAGGGAGCUAGCGUUGUUCGGAAUUACUGGGCAUAAAGCGCGCGUAGGCGGUUACUCAAGUCAGAGGUGAAAGCCCGGGGCUCAACCCCGGAACUGCCUUUGAAACUAGGUGACUAGAAUCUUGGAGAGGUCAGUGGAAUUCCGAGUGUAGAGGUGAAAUUCGUAGAUAUUCGGAAGAACACCAGUGGCGAAGGCGACUGACUGGACAAGUAUUGACGCUGAGGUGCGAAAGCGUGGGGAGCAAACAGGAUUAGAUACCCGAGUAGUCCCUGUCUCUUAUAC